GGAGGGAUGGCCGAGUGGACGAAGGCGGCGGUCUUGAAAACCGCUGUGGGCUUACACCCACCGGGGGUUCGAAUCCCUCUCCCUCCG
Molecule: transfer RNA, 87 nt
Filed under: Anaerolineae bacterium
Lineage: Bacteria; Bacillati; Chloroflexota; Anaerolineae
Also listed under: 1 other name
Description: tRNA-Ser
Rfam family: tRNA
About the family: Transfer RNA (tRNA) molecules are approximately 80 nucleotides in length. Their secondary structure includes four short double-helical elements and three loops (D, anti-codon, and T loops).
Source: RNAcentral